GGGAUGGGCGUGGCCUGCGCAUGAUGCAUCCGGCCCACAGGCCGCCAGUUUGACACCCCGCUACUUUCUCAUCCUGGAAGCUUUUCAACUUUCAACUCUCAGAACGCUCUUCAGGGGCCAUGCAAACUGGAAAAUUCUGGAAAUUGAAACUCAUGUAGUACAUCUGUAAUUGGUUUAUUGUGAUCAAACAAUAAUUUCCUUGCAUCCAUAUUUCCCUUUCUUUUUCUGCUUACUGAUUUUAGAUAGUUAUUAGUCCAAGCUUAAUUGAAAUAUCAAAUUACUUCUGGAUUUUGUAUUAAUGCCAGAGCUUUAAUGUAAAUACAACUUAUGUAUUUUGA
Molecule: long non-coding RNA, 338 nt
Organism: Pantherophis guttatus
Lineage: Eukaryota; Metazoa; Chordata; Lepidosauria; Squamata; Colubridae
Source: RefSeq, a predicted model, not a curated record